UACAGAGGUCUCGAGCGUUGUUCGGAUUCAUUGGGCGUAAAGGGUGCGUAGGUGGCGCUGUAAGUCGGGUGUGAAAUCCUGAGGCUUAACCUCGGAACUGCAUUCGAUACUGCGGCGCUUGAGGACUGGAGAGGAGACUGGAAUUCAUGGUGUAGCAGUGAAAUGCGUAGAUAUGCGGAGGAACACCGAUGGCGAAGGCAGUCCCCUGGGCCUGUACUGACGCUCAUGCACGAAAGCGUGGGGAGCAAACAGG
RNAcentral lists this ribosomal RNA (253 nucleotides) under uncultured bacterium. Its description in RNAcentral is "partial 16S ribosomal RNA". It matches the Rfam family "Bacterial small subunit ribosomal RNA", at positions 524 to 776 of the family's 1533-position model. The record is from RNAcentral.